RNAcentral lists this ribosomal RNA (430 nucleotides) under uncultured microorganism. RNAcentral describes it as "bacterial SSU rRNA". It matches the Rfam family "Bacterial small subunit ribosomal RNA", at positions 9 to 439 of the family's 1533-position model. The record is from RNAcentral.
GAGUUUGAUCGUGGCUCAGAUUGAACGCUGGCGGCAUGCCUACACAUGCAAGUCGAACGGCAGCAUGAUCUAGCUUGCUAGAUUGAUGGCGAGUGGCGAACGGGUGAGUAAUACAUCGGAACGUGCCCUGUAGUGGGGGAUAACUAGUCGAAAGAUUAGCUAAUACCGCAUACGACCUGAGGGUGAAAGUGGGGGACCGCAAGGCCUCAUGCUAUAGGAGCGGCCGAUGUCUGAUUAGCUAGUUGGUGGGGUAAAGGCCCACCAAGGCGACGAUCAGUAGCUGGUCUGAGAGGACGAUCAGCCACACUGGGACUGAGACACGGCCCAGACUCCUACGGGAGGCAGCAGUGGGGAAUUUUGGACAAUGGGCGAAAGCCUGAUCCAGCAAUGCCGCGUGUGUGAAGAAGGCCUCGGUUGUAAGUACGACUUU